GGCCAGACUCCUACGGGAGGCAGCAGUGGGGAAUAUUGCACAAUGGGGGAAACCCUGAUGCAGCGACGCCGCGUGAGUGAAGAAGUAUUUCGGUAUGUAAAGCUCUAUCAGCAGGGAAGAAAAUGACGGUACCUGACUAAGAAGCCCCGGCUAACUACGUGCCAGCAGCCGCGGUAAUACGUAGGGGGCAAGCGUUAUCCGGAUUUACUGGGUGUAAAGGGAGCGUAGACGGCAUGGCAAGUCAGAUGUGAAAGCCCGGGGCUCAACCCCGGGACUGCAUUUGAAACUGUCGGGCUGGAGUGCAGGAGAGGUAAGUGGAAUUCCUAGUGUAGCGGUGAAAUGCGUAGAUAUUAGGAGGAACACCAGUGGCGAAGGCGGCUUACUGGACUGUAACUGACGUUGAGGCUCGAAAGCGUGGGGAGCAAACAGGAUUAGAUACCCCCGUAC
RNAcentral lists this ribosomal RNA (447 nucleotides) under uncultured bacterium. RNAcentral's name for it is "bacterial SSU rRNA". It matches the Rfam family "Bacterial small subunit ribosomal RNA", at positions 329 to 793 of the family's 1533-position model. The record is from RNAcentral.